Molecule: long non-coding RNA, 445 nt
Filed under: Trifolium pratense (red clover)
Lineage: Eukaryota; Viridiplantae; Streptophyta; Magnoliopsida; Fabales; Fabaceae
Description: long non-coding RNA (TPRA_LNC011374)
Source: RNAcentral
CUAUAACACUCAAGACUAAAUAGUCUAGAAUAUAGCUAGAGCGUUCAUAAUUGAGUACUGGAUACAUAAAGAUUACAAUACAUAAGAAGUUUGAUAUGUACAUGUAGGUACUAUAUACAUAAGUCUGAUACAACUUAAACAGAAAGAACAUGAUAUGACAGCAUAAUAGACAAUAAAGUCCGGAACAUAAAGCAUCUAGCUGCAGCAACUACUCCUCUGCUCGCUUACCACGAGAACCUUGCUUAUCUGAAAAAAAAAUGAAUAAGCGUGGGAUGAGACUACUAAGCCUCAGUGAGUUCUGCUACCCAACUAACGGUGACUACACCGGGGUACCUGAAUGUCAGUCCAUAACAUAAUUUUCAUAACAUAAUUCAUAAUAUAACAUAAAAACAUAAAUGUGUAUCACAAAUUAUUAUCUUGUUCAUUUUAACAUAACUAAGACACU